This 469-nucleotide ribosomal RNA is filed under the name uncultured bacterium. RNAcentral describes it as "partial 16S ribosomal RNA". It matches the Rfam family "Bacterial small subunit ribosomal RNA", at positions 355 to 815 of the family's 1533-position model. The record is from RNAcentral.
UAGGGAAUCUUCCACAAUGGACGCAAGUCUGAUGGAGCAACGCCGCGUGAGUGAAGAAGGUUUUCGGACCGUAAAGCUCUGUUGUUGGUGAAGAAGGAUAGAGGUAGUAACUGGCCUUUAUUUGACGGUAAUCAACCAGAAAGUCACGGCUAACUACGUGCCAGCAGCCGCGGUAAUACGUAGGUGGCAAGCGUUGUCCGGAUUAUUGGGCGUAAAGCGAGCGCAGGCGGAAGAAUAAGUCUGAUGUGAAAGCCCUCGGCUUAACCGAGGAAUUGCAUCGGAAACUGUUUUUCUUGAGUGCAGAAGAGGAGAGUAGAACUCCAUGUGUAGCGGUGGAAUGCGUAGAUAUAUGGAAGAAUACCAGUGGCGAAGGCGGCUCUCUGGUCUGCAACUGACGCUGAGGCUCGAAAAGCAUGGGUAGCGAACAGGAUUAGAUACCCUGGUAGUCCAUGCCGUAAAACGAUGAGUG